RNAcentral lists this ribosomal RNA (636 nucleotides) under Eurotium sp. FZ. Its description in RNAcentral is "eukaryotic LSU rRNA". It matches the Rfam family "Eukaryotic large subunit ribosomal RNA", at positions 1 to 649 of the family's 3401-position model. Lineage: Eukaryota; Fungi; Ascomycota; Eurotiomycetes; Eurotiales; Aspergillaceae. The record is from RNAcentral.
GGUUGACCUCGGAUCAGGUAGGGAUACCCGCUGAACUUAAGCAUAUCAAUAAGCGGAGGAAAAGAAACCAACCGGGAUUGCCUCAGUAACGGCGAGUGAAGCGGCAAGAGCUCAAAUUUGAAAUCUGGCCCCUCCGGGGUCCGAGUUGUAAUUUGUAGAGGAUGCUUCGGGUGCGGCCCCCGUCUAAGUGCUCUGGAACGGGCCAUCGGAGAGGGUGAGAAUCCCGUCUGGGACGGGGUGUCCGCGUCCAUGUGAAGCUCCUUCGACGAGUCGAGUUGUUUGGGAAUGCAGCUCUAAAUGGGUGGUAAAUUUCAUCUAAAGCUAAAUACUGGCCGGAGACCGAUAGCGCACAAGUAGAGUGAUCGAAAGAUGAGAAGCACUUUGAAAAGAGAGUUAAACAGCACGUGAAAUUGUUGAAAGGGAAGCGCUUGCGACCAGACUCGCUUCCGGGGUUCAGCCGGCUUUCGGGCCGGUGUACUUCCCCGGGGGCGGGCCAGCGUCGGUUUGGGCGGCCGGUCAAAGGCCCCUGGAAUGUAACGCCUCUCGGGGCGCCUUAUAGCCAGGGGUGUCAUGCGGCCAGCCUGGACCGAGGAACGCGCUUCGGCACGGACGCUGGCAUAAUGGUCGUAAACGACC